This 255-nucleotide ribosomal RNA is filed under the name Escherichia coli. RNAcentral describes it as "partial 16S ribosomal RNA". It matches the Rfam family "Bacterial small subunit ribosomal RNA", at positions 10 to 261 of the family's 1533-position model. Lineage: Bacteria; Pseudomonadati; Pseudomonadota; Gammaproteobacteria; Enterobacterales; Enterobacteriaceae. The record is from RNAcentral.
AGUUUGAUCAUGGCUCAGAUUGAACGCUGGCGGCAGGCCUAACACAUGCAAGUCGAACGGUAACAGGAAGCAGCUUGCUGCUUUGCUGACGAGUGGCGGACGGGUGAGUAAUGUCUGGGAAACUGCCCGAUGGAGGGGGAUAACUACUGGAAACGGUAGCUAAUACCGCAUAACGUCGCAAGACCAAAGAGGGGGACCUUAGGGCCUCUUGCCAUCGGAUGUGCCCAGAUGGGAUUAGCUAGUAGGUGGGGUAAA